GGGUCAGUAGGUUGGUCGUGCCACCGGUACGUACUGGUCUCACUGAUUCCUCCUUCCUGAAGAACCGUAAUGCCAUUAAUUUGGUGUUGCGGGGAAACAGGACUGUUACUUUGAAAAAGUUAGAGUGUUUAAAGCAAGCUAACGCUUGGAUACAUUAGCAUGGAAUAAUGAAAUAGGACGAUCGAUCCUAUUUUGUUGGUUUCUAGGAUUGACGUA
This 216-nucleotide ribosomal RNA is filed under the name Glomeromycotina sp. RNAcentral's name for it is "partial small subunit ribosomal RNA". The stretch from base 40 to 216 matches the Rfam family "Eukaryotic small subunit ribosomal RNA", at positions 686 to 864 of the family's 1831-position model. The record is from RNAcentral. Lineage: Eukaryota; Fungi; Glomeromycota.